AUUGAACGCUGGCGGCAGGCCUAACACAUGCAAGUCGAGCGGAUGACGGGAGCUUGCUCCUUGAUUCAGCGGCGGACGGGUGAGUAAUGCCUAGGAAUCUGCCUGGUAGUGGGGGACAACGUUUCGAAAGGAACGCUAAUAUCGCAUACGUCCUACGGGAGAAAGCAGGGGACCUUCGGGCCUUGCGCUAUCAGAUGAGCCUAGGUCGGAUUAGCUAGUUGGUGGGGUAAUGGCUCACCAAGGCGACGAUCCGUAACUGGUCUGAGAGGAUGAUCAGGCACACUGGAACUGAGACACGGUCCAGACUCCUACGGGAGGCAGCAGUGGGGAAUAUUGGACAAUGGGCGAAAGCCUGAUCCAGCCAUGCCGCGUGUGUGAAGAAGGUCUUCGGAUUGUAAAGCACUUUAAGUUGGGAGGAAGGGCAGUAAGCUAAUACCUUGCUGUUUUGACGUUACCGACAGAAUAAGCACCGGCUAACUCUGUGCCAGCAGCCGCGGUAA
RNAcentral lists this ribosomal RNA (500 nucleotides) under uncultured bacterium. RNAcentral describes it as "partial 16S ribosomal RNA". It matches the Rfam family "Bacterial small subunit ribosomal RNA", at positions 30 to 523 of the family's 1533-position model. The record is from RNAcentral.